CAAACAAAGGUAUGAAGGCUUUAGGCCGCCCUACAUGUUAUUGUAGGCCCAGUUUAAUAUGCAACUUCAUUUUCUACAUAGCAGGGGGUCCCUGUUCCAUCUCUCUUUCAGUUAGGGGGUCCUUGGCUUAAAAAAACAUUGAAGACCCCUGGUCUAAUGUAUUUUAGCGGGUAUACUGUUCUACAUAAAUACAUAGACCAGAAUGGACAUAUCAAAGUGGGGCGUCAAAGACUUAAUUUUCUGCAUUUUGAUACACUUUUAUGCACCAGUUUACAGUGGAAAUACCUUUAUUUAGCCUAUGUGAAGGAAAACAAUUCAAAAUAUAUCAAAAAUAUAAUGGAAAGUAUGUUGUUAUGUGCCAUUGCACAUUUGUAGGUGGGUAUAAUGAAACGCUGGAGCUUUCUUAGUGGGUUUACUGCGUAUACCUGCAUAUCACGUAGACUACACCACUGCAUCAGAGGUAUUUCUAUGAUUUAAGCUUAACUUUUUGUGCAUCUAGGGUUGCAAAGGGGCGAAAAUUUUCCUGUAAAUUUCCGGAAACUUUCCAUGGAAUGUUUAGCUGGGGAAUUUUGGAAACAAUCCAGUUUUUAUUUACUAUGGUUAGUGGGCUAUACAAUUAAAACAGAUAUAGGUUAAUAAUAGCAAUGGGUUAUGUAUUAGCAGUAUGUACUAACAGUUUUAUAACAAGCAAUAUUACAACUAUCCAGUUUAUUCCCAUUAAUUCCCGCUAAUUCCCGUUAAUUUCCAUGGAAAGUUUCCAACUUUGAAAAUUCCUGGAAUUUUGCAACCCUAUGUGCAUCAGAGGUCACCCGGAGUACUUUUAACCACUUCCUCAAUGACUAAAACAGCUCUUUUGCAACGAGCACAUAUACAUAUUUUGUUGAUAAAAUAUUUCUACAACAGUGAGUCAUAACGGAAAAAGAACAUAAAUAAACCACCUAAAAGUAGAUUAUUAAAUUAUCUGGUAUCGGAUCGGUACAUAAACUCCAUAAACAGUACUUUCUGAUACCGAUACCAGCAUUUUAGGCAGUAUCAGAGGCGAUAUUGGAACAGCUCUAGUAUUAUACCACUAGAGGGAGCUUGGGUACCACUAGAGGUAGCUAACGUACCACUAGAGGGAGCUAACGUACCACCAGUGGUACUUGUGCCACAGUUUGAGAACCAGUGUGUUAAACCAUAACUUCACAGUGUUCACAGAAAUUAGUUUGGAGAAAGUGCCAAUGAUUAUUCCACUCAGUCGCCUUAGUUUUGUUUUUUACAAGAAAAGAAAAGUGCUACGGUACUUUGCAGGAUCAGUAUUUACUCUUUGUUGAUGUGUGAGUGGUGGGGAGGGCGUUGUGUUUACAUUUGUAAUUGUCAGUAUUUGUUGUUCAAGUUGUUAUUCAUGUAAUUUAUGUAAUUCCUAACAGACCUGUGUUUUAAUGUAAGAUGUGUGGAGAUUCAGCUUGAAGACGAAGAAAACGCUAAAUUCUGAAUUAAACUCUGAAAUUCCAUGAUGUGAAUUGAAA
Long non-coding RNA from Perca fluviatilis (European perch), 1508 nucleotides. RefSeq lists it as uncharacterized. The record is from RefSeq and is a predicted model, not a curated record. NCBI's taxonomy places the organism in Eukaryota, Metazoa, Chordata, Actinopteri, Perciformes, Percidae. The transcript has 2 exons.